Molecule: ribosomal RNA, 517 nt
Filed under: Synnemapestaloides sp. TAMA 492
Lineage: Eukaryota; Fungi; Ascomycota; Sordariomycetes; Amphisphaeriales; Sporocadaceae
Description: partial 28S ribosomal RNA
Source: RNAcentral
GUGAUUGAUAACCAUUACGCCAGCAUCCUUGCAGAAGUGCGUACCUCGAAUCCCCAGGGCGGUAUUAUACAAUAGGCUAUAACACUCCCGAGGGAGCCACAUUCCUAAAGCUUUUAUCCCACCCCGAAAAUCGAUGCUGGCCUAAACUAAACAAAGUGCACCGGUGAGAACACCGGAUGAUUCGCCUAGAAAAAGUCUGGUCAUAAAUCCUUCCCUUUCAACAAUUUCACGUGCUAUUUAACCCUCUUUUCAAAGUGCUUUUCAUCUUUCGAUCACUCUACUUGUGCGCUAUCGGUCUCUGGCCAGUAUUUAGCUUUAGAAGAAAUUUACCUCCCAUUUAGAGCAGCAUUCCCAAACUACUCGACUCGUCGAAGGAGUUUUACAAAGGCUAGGCAUUCAACCGUACGGGGCUCUCACCCUCUAAGGCGUCCUGUUCCAAGGAACUCGGAAGAUACCGCACCAAAAACAUCCUCUACAAAUUACAAUUCGGACCCAAGGGCCAGAUUUCAAAUUUGAG